RNAcentral lists this transfer RNA (77 nucleotides) under Alphaproteobacteria bacterium HGW-Alphaproteobacteria-12. Its description in RNAcentral is "tRNA-Arg". It matches the Rfam family "tRNA". From Rfam's summary of the family: Transfer RNA (tRNA) molecules are approximately 80 nucleotides in length. Their secondary structure includes four short double-helical elements and three loops (D, anti-codon, and T loops). Lineage: Bacteria; Pseudomonadati; Pseudomonadota; Alphaproteobacteria. The record is from RNAcentral.
GCACCCGUAGCUCAGCUGGAUAGAGCGCUGCCCUCCGAAGGCAGAGGCCGCACGUUCGAAUCGUGCCGGGUGCACCA